AGUGAACGCUGGCGGUAGGCCUAACACAUGCAAGUCGAACGGCAGCACAGUAAGAGCUUGCUCUUACGGGUGGCGAGUGGCGGACGGGUGAGGAAUACAUCGGAAUCUACUUUUUCGUGGGGGAUAACGUAGGGAAACUUACGCUAAUCCGGCAUCCGCCUUAGGGUGAAAGCCGGGGGAUCUUCGGACUUUGCCCGAUUGAAUGAGCCGAUGUCGGAUUAGCUAGUUGGCGGGGUAAAGGCCCACCAAGGCGACGAUCCGUAGCUGGUCUGAGAGGAUGAUCAGCCACACUGGAACUGAGACACGGUCCAGACUCCUACGGGAGGCAGCAGUGGGGAAUAUUGGACAAUGGGCGCAAGCCUGAUCCAGCCAUACCGCGUGGGUGAAGAAGGCCUUCGGGUUGUAAAGCCCUUUUGUUGGGAAAGAAAAGCAGCAGGUUAAUACCCCGCUGUUCUGACGGUACCCAAAGAAUAAGCACCGGCUAACUUCGUG
Molecule: ribosomal RNA, 492 nt
Filed under: uncultured bacterium
Lineage: Bacteria
Description: partial 16S ribosomal RNA
Rfam family: Bacterial small subunit ribosomal RNA
Source: RNAcentral